Molecule: ribosomal RNA, 584 nt
Filed under: uncultured bacterium
Lineage: Bacteria
Description: bacterial SSU rRNA
Rfam family: Bacterial small subunit ribosomal RNA
Source: RNAcentral
CCUACGGGAGGCAGCAGUGGGGAAUUUUGGACAAUGGGCGCAAGCCUGAUCCAGCAAUGCCGCGUGAGUGAAGAAGGCCUUCGGGUUGUAAAGCUCUUUUGUCAGGGAAGAAACGGUGUUUUCUAAUACAGAAUGCUAAUGACGGUACCUGAAGAAUAAGCACCGGCUAACUACGUGCCAGCAGCCGCGGUAAUACGUAGGGUGCAAGCGUUAAUCGGAAUUACUGGGCGUAAAGCGUGCGCAGGCGGUUUUGUAAGUCUGUCGUGAAAUCCCCGGGCUCAACCUGGGAAUGGCGAUGGAGACUGCAAGGCUAGAAUCUGGCAGAGGGGGGUAGAAUUCCACGUGUAGCAGUGAAAUGCGUAGAUAUGUGGAGGAACACCGAUGGCGAAGGCAGCCCCCUGGGCUAAGAUUGACGCUCAUGCACGAAAGCGUGGGGAGCAAACAGGAUUAGAUACCCUGGUAGUCCACGCCCUAAACGAUGUCUACUAGUUGUCGGGUCUUAAUUGACUUGGUAACGCAGCUAACGCGUGAAGUAGACCGCCUGGGGAGUACGGUCGCAAGAUUAAAACUUAAAGGAUUGACGG